RNAcentral lists this ribosomal RNA (269 nucleotides) under uncultured bacterium. RNAcentral describes it as "partial 16S ribosomal RNA". It matches the Rfam family "Bacterial small subunit ribosomal RNA", at positions 523 to 777 of the family's 1533-position model. The record is from RNAcentral.
UAGCGAGGGGGGCGAGCGUUGUUCGGAAGUUAUUGGGCGUAAAGGGUGCUGUAGGCGGUUUGGGUAAGUCUUAUGUGAAAUCUAUGGGCUCAACUCAUAGACUGCAGUAGAAACGUGCCGGGCUAGUAUGGGAGAGGUGGAGUGAAAUUCCUGGUGUAGCGGUGAAAUGACGUAGAUAUCAAGGAGGGAACACCUGGUGGCGAAAGCGGCCUCACUGGGCCGAUAAACUGACGGCUGGAUGACACGGAAAGCUAGGGGAGCAAACAGGA